CCUACGGGUGGCAGCAGUGGGGAAUAUUGGACAAUGGGGGCAACCCUGAUCCAGCCAUGCCGCGUGUGUGAAGAAGGCCCUCGGGUUGUAAAGCACUUUCAGUGAGGAAGAACGCCUGGUGGUUAAUACCCAUCAGGAAAGACAUCACUCACAGAAGAAGCACCGGCUAACUCCGUGCCAGCAGCCGCGGUAAUACGGAGGGUGCGAGCGUUAAUCGGAAUUACUGGGCGUAAAGCGCGCGUAGGUGGCUUGAUAAGCCGGUUGUGAAAGCCCCGGGCUCAACCUGGGAACGGCAUCCGGAACUGUCAAGCUAGAGUGCGGGAGAGGAAGGUAGAAUUCCCGGUGUAGCGGUGAAAUGCGUAGAGAUCGGGAGGAAUACCAGUGGCGAAGGCGGCCUUCUGGACUGACACUGACACUGAGGUGCGAAAGCGUGGGUAGCAAACAGGAUUAGAUACCCCUGUAGUC
This 465-nucleotide ribosomal RNA is filed under the name Vreelandella stevensii. RNAcentral describes it as "partial 16S ribosomal RNA". It matches the Rfam family "Bacterial small subunit ribosomal RNA", at positions 338 to 795 of the family's 1533-position model. Lineage: Bacteria; Pseudomonadati; Pseudomonadota; Gammaproteobacteria; Oceanospirillales; Halomonadaceae. The record is from RNAcentral.